Gallus gallus (chicken) is the source of this 606-nucleotide long non-coding RNA. The record is from Ensembl. Lineage: Eukaryota; Metazoa; Chordata; Aves; Galliformes; Phasianidae.
GGAAGUUUGCCCACAACUGUUAAAUUACUUUAGCCUCCACUACAAGAUGACUGGUUACUGAAAAUAAUCCCAGGGAAUGGUGCACAGGAGUCAUUCAAGAGGUGUUUUUCGUUUGGCCCAUCUCCUAGAGGAUAUGAGUCUCUUUUCAGUGUAUACCUGAGGAACAAGUAUCCCCUGAUGAGUUGCCUGGUUUUAUGUGAAUUCCUUUGCUCACAUGCCCUGCUGACAUACUGAGGAAGGUUUUUUGAAGUAUGUUUCUCAGAUAAACUCAGGGAUUAUACCCCAGGAAUGUACCACAGGGAAGAUAAAACUAUCAUGAGGAAAGGAACAUUUCAGGUGCUUGUGCAAUUUAUUUUUUAACUGCACUGAGAUUAUCUUUACAGCUGCAUCUGCAGGAAUUUAUCAGCCUCCUUACAAUCUUCCUCCCUAUGUACUUAGUUGCCUCCUGAAAAAACACAUCACUUAUCAAUAAGGUGUACUCUUCCUCAGCUGCAGGAUUAUGAGCCUCUCCUUGAAAGCUGAAAGGAAUUUCUCCUGUUUCACCAAAACUGUGAAAAUUGUCAAAACAAGCAGAUAGAGAAUAACAAUGAAGGAAAAAAGUUUCUU